RNAcentral lists this transfer RNA (65 nucleotides) under Culter oxycephaloides. RNAcentral's name for it is "tRNA-Ser". Lineage: Eukaryota; Metazoa; Chordata; Actinopteri; Cypriniformes; Xenocyprididae. The record is from RNAcentral.
GUACUGCUAAUCCUUAUGCACCGCGGUUAAAAUCCGCGGCUUCUCACGCUUCUGAGGAUAACAGC